CCUGACCUCAGGUGAUCCACCCGCUUCGGCCUCCCAAAGUGCUGGGAUUACAGGCGUGAGCCACCGUGCCCGCCCCAUACCACUCUUUCUUGAACACUCUGACUGUCCCUGGCCCCUACUCAGGGACUAAACCUUACCCUUUCAAGGCUUGCUUUUAUGCCCUGGCCAUCCACAACUUCUCUAGCCUUGAAGCCUUCCCCUCAAGGAACUUGGUCUAGUGGGAGUCUGACUCUCACGGGUCAUGAAUGCGGCUAAAACAAAGUGCCCCACGAGCUCAAGAGAGGUACCAUGAACUGACAGGGGCAGACUGACGCUCCCCAAACGGUCUGACGGUGACCCUUGUGGAGCUGUCUCGCAAUCAGAAAAAGGAAGGGAGGCAAAUUAUUCCGAAAUCAGACUAUGAGCAAACCUGGAGGCUGGAAAGAAAGCAAUCAGGGUGGCGGAGCCUUUGGGGGUGCAAUGAAGGCCCGAUUCAUCAGGGGCUUUGAAUUAAGUUUAACCCUGCUAGCGAUCUAAUAAAGGUUGGCAUGAUUUGACUUAAUUUUUAUUUUGUUUUAUAAAAGUUGACUCUUCGUUUUUCAUUGUCGCUACAGCACAAACUCCACAAAGAAGUAAUUCCACCCGGUGACUUCCCCACUGGCACUAAUAUGGUGUCCUCCCUCUAAGGAGCCCGAGACACUUCCGCCCUUCUCAGAAGUGACUUCCGUCCAGCUCGGCAUGGCGGCAGUCACUGCCGUCACUUAGUCGCCGAUCAAGGCUUGGACUAAGGGCCCACGGUCACUCGAGUAGGACUUGGAUCGGAUGCUGAAUAAAACUCACCGUGAAGCAAGUCCCACUGAACGAAAAGUUGGUCGUAGCAUUUCUCAGCAGCUGCUUCCGGCUCCCUGAGACCCAGCCAUGGAAGGCAUAGAAAGGCAUGUGACAAGAAACUCAUGGCUUUUAAUCCUGGCAGGACAAGGAAAACCCCGUCAAAGAUUUGCAUAAAUUUUGCUGCUCUC
Molecule: long non-coding RNA, 998 nt
Filed under: Homo sapiens (human)
Lineage: Eukaryota; Metazoa; Chordata; Mammalia; Primates; Hominidae
Description: HSALNT0388328
Source: RNAcentral